This 586-nucleotide ribosomal RNA is filed under the name uncultured bacterium. RNAcentral's name for it is "bacterial SSU rRNA". It matches the Rfam family "Bacterial small subunit ribosomal RNA", at positions 338 to 916 of the family's 1533-position model. The record is from RNAcentral.
CCUACGGGAGGCAGCAGUGGGGAAUUUUGGACAAUGGGCGCAAGCCUGAUCCAGCAAUGCCGCGUGCAGGAUGAAGGCCUUCGGGUUGUAAACUGCUUUUGUACGGAGCGAAACGGUCUGCUUUAAUACAGUAGGCUAAUGACGGUACCGUAAGAAUAAGCACCGGCUAACUACGUGCCAGCAGCCGCGGUAAUACGUAGGGUGCGAGCGUUAAUCGGAAUUACUGGGCGUAAAGCGUGCGCAGGCGGUUAUAUAAGACAGAUGUGAAAUCCCCGGGCUCAACCUGGGACCUGCAUUUGUGACUGUAUAGCUAGAGUACGGUAGAGGGGGAUGGAAUUCCGCGUGUAGCAGUGAAAUGCGUAGAUAUGCGGAGGAACACCGAUGGCGAAGGCAAUCCCCUGGACCUGUACUGACGCUCAUGCACGAAAGCGUGGGGAGCAAACAGGAUUAGAUACCCUGGUAGUCCACGCCCUAAACGAUGUCAACUGGUUGUUGGGUCUUCACUGACUCAGUAACGAAGCUAACGCGUGAAGUUGACCGCCUGGGGAGUACGGCCGCAAGGUUGAAACGUCAAAGGAAUUGACGG